Molecule: long non-coding RNA, 1096 nt
Organism: Bos taurus (domestic cattle)
Lineage: Eukaryota; Metazoa; Chordata; Mammalia; Artiodactyla; Bovidae
Source: Ensembl
GUCCAUCUCAGAGCACUCGGGGGGUGGGGGGCGGUGAGGAGAGCUCCAUGUGCAAAUGGCGGGUUUUCAGUUCGAUUUCUGUUCGAUGGCCUAGAGGAUGACCUUCACGAAUGUUCUUCCGAACUGCCCACAGUACUUCUUCAUUCCAUGUGGACUCCUUCAAGGACAGUGGAGCAUCACAGCUUCCCUUGAACUUCUCCUGGAAUAUAUAGGUGAACUAUAAAGAAAGCUGAGCACAGAAGAAUGGAUGCUUUUGAACUGUGGUGUUGGAGAAGACUCUUGAGAGUCCCUUGGACUGCAAGGAAAUCCAACCAGUCCAUCCUAAAGGAAAUCCGUUCUGGGUGUUCAUCGGAAGGACUGAUGUUGAAGCUGAAACUCCAAUUUUUGGAGAGCUGACUCAUUUGAAAAGACCCUGAUGUUGGGAAAGAUUGAAGACAGGAGGAGACGGGGACGACAGCGGAUGAGAUGGUUAGAUGGCACCAGCGACCCAAUGGUUACGAGUUUGGGUAAACUCUGGGAGUUGGUGUUGGACAGGGAGGCCUGGCGUGCUGCGGUUCAAUGGGGGUCGCAAAGAGUCAGACACGACCAAGCGAAUGAACAGAACUGAACUGAACUGAAAAACAAAUGCUGUUCAAGGACACUGAAAGAACCCUGAUGUUGAAAAUCAGAUCUGUAUUGUGAGCAAUGCUUAGAAAUCCAUGAGUUGACACAUAGUAUUAAGCCUAUCAUCCUUGUAGUUCCCUCAGUGAAAUAUGUUGCGAAAAGCUCUUCCUUCAUGGUAUAGAUUCAUGAAGAAGCUAAAUAGCAUGAAUCCUUUACGUUGACAACUGUGAAUUUAAAUCUCCUGUGAAUCCUAUGUGACAACCACACAUACCAACAUGAUUUAUUAGUAUUAUAUCAAUAUUUUUAGUCCUACUGUCUUUCAACUAAAAAUGUCACUAUACAAUGGUACAUGAAGUCAAGACACAAAAUCAGGGCAAAUACAAAAUAUUCCAUCCUUUGAGAAAGGGAGCUAAAAAAUAAUGUGCUUUGCCUAUUGCAUUUUUAUGUAUUAGAUCCUUAAGUAUUUUAUUCACCACACCCAACUGAAUGGUUC